GCGGGCGUGGCGAAAUUGGUAGACGCGCCAGAUUUAGGUUCUGGUAUUUAACGAUGUGGGGGUUCAAGUCCCUCCGCCCGCACCA
Molecule: transfer RNA, 85 nt
Filed under: Alphaproteobacteria bacterium
Lineage: Bacteria; Pseudomonadati; Pseudomonadota; Alphaproteobacteria
Description: tRNA-Leu
Rfam family: tRNA
About the family: Transfer RNA (tRNA) molecules are approximately 80 nucleotides in length. Their secondary structure includes four short double-helical elements and three loops (D, anti-codon, and T loops).
Source: RNAcentral